RNAcentral lists this long non-coding RNA (308 nucleotides) under Lathyrus oleraceus (garden pea). RNAcentral's name for it is "Pisum sativum (pea) long non-coding RNA (PSAT_LNC030923)". The record is from RNAcentral. Lineage: Eukaryota; Viridiplantae; Streptophyta; Magnoliopsida; Fabales; Fabaceae.
UCUUGUGCAUGCUAACCAUAUGUCUAUAAUAGGGAACCUUCAUAGUCUAGAGGCGUCCAACGCCUCGCUCUUAGCACAAGUCCAACAACUCCAUAUUUCCCAGAGUUCACACCACCAGAGUCGAAGCCAUCGUCCACGACAUCAGGACCAGACAAGAGAGGGUAGUGGAGGCAAUCACUGGCAUAUCAUCCAGGUUCUACCAUUCCUUUUUUUAACCUUUUUAUCGAAACAUUGGGGAUAAUGUUCAGUUUAAGUGUGGGAAAGGAACCUUACUUUUUUUAAUUAUUUAUUAUCAUUUUUUAGCUAGA